Molecule: non-coding RNA, 119 nt
Filed under: Cavia porcellus (domestic guinea pig)
Lineage: Eukaryota; Metazoa; Chordata; Mammalia; Rodentia; Caviidae
Source: RNAcentral
GUGUUGCAUGAACAAGAGAAGUUUAGCACUUCCCUAGACAAAGAAGAGACUGUCAGGCAUCACAGUGAGCGUAUGUUUAAAGCGUAGCUUCAGGGGUUGGCGUCUAAUCGUUGCUUUUU